UAGCUGUAGAAGAGAAGGAUUUCCCAAAAGUAAAAGUUAAAACCUGUUCACUUUGAAGUUAGAGUCUUGAUGUUGUUGGUAUAAAACAGAGCGAACAGAAGCCUGUUUCUUGGUCUUACAAGUACUGAAAAUAACUGCAGUGCUCUGGCCACACAUAUUUUACAUCUGUUCAGAUUAUUAAAAUGAGAUACCACAAAUCCUGUUUGUUAAAUGCUUGGAUUCAUUUUUAUUUUGGAGGUAAUUUUUGAAAAUGCCUUUUUUUGGCACUUCCGUCACAUACUCUUGAAACUUAGUUUUCCAUUGCUUUCCUUUUCUAGAGUCAAAGAUUUUCUUCCUGGCAUGGAUAUUUUUGUAUUUGCAAGACGUUAGUGCUGUUUUUAAAGCCAGUUGAGAUAUUUGAGGGUGUUCUUCAGUUGUCCUAGAAACAGUCAUGCCUUUUUUGCCUUCAUUCAGUUUUCCACUUUGCAUCUGUAGCCUGGUAAAAUUGCGACACUUCGCACCUCUGGUGUAAAUUAAUCUCUGGCAGUUCAAUUCCACAGCCUUCCUUGACACAAGUCUGCAUGGCACAGAUACUGAGAAUUUGGGUCAUCUGGCUUUCUUCUUUUGCAGUGAAGCUCUUCCUUAAGUAACUUUGGAAAUGCUGAACAACGUAAGACAUUGUGAUAUAUGGAGAGUUCUUUGAAACUUUACUGACUGCAGUUUGUGCUUCAGAUUAUGCGCACAGGCCAUGGGCCUAUCUGUGUCACGUCUGAGAUGUAGAAGAUGGGCUUCAAGUGGCAAGAAGCUGGAUCAUCUUUCUUCAUCUCCUUGAUGCCUUCUCAGGAUUUGAAAGUGUGAUGAAGUAUUUCAUCCCUUUACAGGGUUAGGAGGUCUGCAACAGGGCUCAAGAACUGGAAAUCUUACAUCCUUUCCCUCCUGUCAUCUGCUUCCACACAACUGCAGAGCCUGCGCUGCGCUCUCAGCAAAAUCACCCUGAAACGCCCUGUGGUGGAGGUUUGUACUAAGCUGAUACAGAACGGACAUUGCUCUUGGUGGCAGUAUCCCUUGUUGCCAUGUUGUUCAUAGAGAAGAUGAGUUUAUACUCGCCUUUGUUCCACUGAGACGAGUGUUUGGUGUGUUCUACAUACCAAAAGUGGCAAAUCUUCUGUAUCUUCUUUCAAUUUUCAAUUGAAAGUCUACAUGACAUGAACUUCUUGGGUUUUGGUGUGGUUUUUUUUUAGAGAGGUAAAGCUUUUUUGGUUAAAAAAAUGCAACUGUUGAACCCCAGUUGGAGAAACAGCUGCAAUAUGUAUGUGCAUGAUACAGUGCAUGGGAUACAAAGCAUUCCCAUUCCUUCUGAUCUUGCAUAUCCACUCCCUGUACCUAUUGAAUGUGAUAGCCUUUAGGCAUGAGUGUAGACUCAGAGAUGGGAAGGGCUAGCUUGCCAUGCAAACAUUUAUCUGAUGGCCCCAUCCUAUUUUCUAGAACCAAAGACUUAAUUGUGAUAAAAUGGACAUCUUAAAGCAUUGUAGGAGGUAGGGGGAUAAAACUGCACUUAAUCUGAGUUUAGUUAGGCAUGUUUCAUACCUUGGAGUUUGACAGUAAAUAACACAGUAUAUGAUCAAUGGAAAUAUGAUCUUAAUCUGUAACUAUAAAAAAGA
Neopsephotus bourkii (Bourke's parrot) is the source of this 1640-nucleotide long non-coding RNA. RefSeq lists it as uncharacterized. The record is from RefSeq and is a predicted model, not a curated record. NCBI's taxonomy places the organism in Eukaryota, Metazoa, Chordata, Aves, Psittaciformes, Psittacidae. The transcript has 3 exons.